UCCCUCCAGAUCCCUCGCCCAUCAGAUCUAUGCACCGGUCUGAGAGGCUGUGAGGGGAGGAAAAGCAAAGCUGAAACAGACUGGGAUUCUUCUGUGACACAUACGUUUGCUUCAUUAAAGA
This 121-nucleotide small nucleolar RNA is filed under the name Echinops telfairi (small Madagascar hedgehog). Its description in RNAcentral is "Small nucleolar RNA SNORA61 (ENSETEG00000026869.1)". The record is from RNAcentral. Lineage: Eukaryota; Metazoa; Chordata; Mammalia; Afrosoricida; Tenrecidae.